GAAAUGCGAUACGUAAUGUGAAUUGCAGAAUUCCGUGAAUCAUCGAAUCUUUGAACGCACCUUGCGCCUCUUGGUAUUCCGAGGGGCAUGCCUGUUUGAGUGUCAUGAAACCAUCAACGAGGACCUUUCUUUUCGGAGAGAGGCUUUCUUGUUGGAUUGUGGAGUGUGCUGGCUUGUUCAGCUCCUCUGAAAUGCAUUAGCGAUGUGGUGUUCCACCUGCUUGAGCUUGCAUUGGCAUUGAUAGUCAUUCAUGUCAGAGUAGUUCAGCUGUGGAAAGGUUCACUUGCUCCUAAUCGUGAUGGACUCUCUCCAUCCUUUGACCCAUAUAACCUCAAAUCAGGCAGGACUACCCGCUGAACUUAA
This 363-nucleotide unclassified non-coding RNA is filed under the name uncultured Hygrocybe. RNAcentral describes it as "sequence contains ITS1". The stretch from base 1 to 105 matches the Rfam family "5.8S ribosomal RNA", at positions 50 to 154 of the family's 154-position model. Lineage: Eukaryota; Fungi; Basidiomycota; Agaricomycetes; Agaricales; Hygrophoraceae. The record is from RNAcentral.